RNAcentral lists this unclassified non-coding RNA (145 nucleotides) under soil metagenome. Its description in RNAcentral is "partial internal transcribed spacer 1". The record is from RNAcentral.
ACGAGUAUAACUCUCUAAACCAUUGUUAACCUACUGUAUCCGUUUCCUUCGGCGGACGGCUCUGCCUAACGCGACCCCUGGGGGAGAGACCGGGGCAAACUCUUAUUAUUAUGGUUUCUGCUGAGUAUACUUAUUCAAUAAGUAA